UACGUAGGGUGCGAGCGUUAAUCGGAAUUACUGGGCGUAAAGCGUGCGCAGGCGGCGCGUUAAGACAGGUGUGAAAGCCCCGAGCUUAACUUGGGAAUUGCGCUUGUGACUGGCGUGCUGGAGUGUGGCAGAGGGAGGUGGAAUUCCACGUGUAGCAGUGAAAUGCGUAGAGAUGUGGAGGAACACCGAUGGCGAAGGCAGCCUCCUGGGCCAGCACUGACGCUCAUGCACGAAAGCGUGGGGAGCAAACAG
RNAcentral lists this ribosomal RNA (252 nucleotides) under uncultured bacterium. RNAcentral describes it as "partial 16S ribosomal RNA". It matches the Rfam family "Bacterial small subunit ribosomal RNA", at positions 524 to 775 of the family's 1533-position model. The record is from RNAcentral.